This 569-nucleotide long non-coding RNA is filed under the name Homo sapiens (human). RNAcentral describes it as "non-protein coding lnc-RTL1-3:1". The record is from RNAcentral. Lineage: Eukaryota; Metazoa; Chordata; Mammalia; Primates; Hominidae.
AGACACCUGCUCCCUGCACCCAAGCCGUCAUGGUCGGCUUGCCUCCGCUUGUCCAGAAGUCUCCAGGCUUGGGGCCCUGAUUGCCAGCCGGUGACACUUGGUCUCCCAGCAGCUGCCCCUUGAGGGGAGCGAAGCAAGGUUACAAAGUGCCGGGAGCCGUGCAGGGCCAGUGAACCCCUCGCUGAGACUCAGUUUGCUGCCAUCACAAGUGCUCUGAGAAUCCUGGAGAGGGAGGAUAUUGGAGACAAACGGGACUGCUGCCCGCCUUUUAGGCGACCGUUGGAGGCUGCUCUGUGCCGGACACAGGCAGGCUCCCACAGCUCAGAAGUCAGCGGAGCAGAGUCCCCAGGAAACCAGGGUCAGGGAUGGAGGCUGCUGAGGAGCGGGUCUGGGAGGUGGAGGCCAGAUACAAGAAAACCACAGUACCAGUAAAUGACAAAGGCUGGAUCUUAACCCAAGUCCUCCGACUCUGAAGGCCAUACCCAACAGGUCCCAUUUUAUUUGUUUUACUUUUUUUUAAUUGAAGAAAAAAAAACUAGCAUUCCCCUACAGUGCCCCCCACCUGGUGG